Long non-coding RNA from Alexandromys fortis (reed vole), 3389 nucleotides. RefSeq lists it as uncharacterized. The transcript is spliced from 3 exons. Lineage: Eukaryota; Metazoa; Chordata; Mammalia; Rodentia; Cricetidae. The record is from RefSeq and is a predicted model, not a curated record.
CCUGCAAAACAUGUACCAAAGCUUUACACCAUUUGAUAAAUAUAUAAAAUUUAUGGUGCACUACUUAGUCUAUGCAAAUUGCAUGAAAUGUAGGCAUAUAUAUUAAUUACCUCAAAUGUCUCUGCUUUGUGCUUAAUAAUAUGAAAACGUUAAUUUCUAAAUAAUUUUUUCUGCACCUUCAUAGAUGUAGCUAAUGGAUUCUAUUUGCUUUCACGCUCACCUCUUUUAUCUGUGCCCCACCCCUGUCAAUCCCCCCCCCAAAUUCUUGAUGUGGGAGUGUCAUAUCAAUCUGUUGAUUUCAUUGGCUGAGCAAUAAAGAAACUGCUUGGCCUGAUAGGUUAAAGCAUUGGUGGGAGGAGUAAACAGAAUAGGAUGCUGGGCGGAAGAGGAAGUGAGGUCAGACUCUGCUCUGCUCCCGGAGAGACCCAACAGCUCUGCUCUCUGGAGCAGAGACACCAGGAUGGACGGAGGCUAGACUCUUCCCGCCCCCCAAAUGUCCAGAUGUGUCAAACAUCUGCUCACACAUGAGAGCAGCUACUGUGAUCUCUCAGGGUUGUAACCGCUGUGACCCCCAUCUUAAUGAAGCCGUGGUCUGCUCCGUACAGCGUGGGAGCCCUCAGCACACUGUGAAGACAAGUUGCAUUCAUUGGGCAGACGCAUGCGUAUAGAAUUCCCAAGGAUUACUCUGCUUCUGCAGCCAAGGACCACUGCUCAUGUGGCCUGUGGGAAGUGGAGCUCCAUGUGGCUCAGUCUGAGUCGUGAAGCAGCCCUGCGGGAGAAUGGCAGCACCGUAGACAUCUGGGGACAUCAUCUGGAGCCAUCCCAAUGCACCAACUUCCUGACAAGCUUUUUGAUUCAAAGGAAGUGACUUGGUCAUUGAAGAAGCCCCUGUGUCUGGGGACAGGCCUCGUGGAAGAUCCUGGAGGAGUAGCAGACUUUUGGGAGCACUGGACCCUUCAGCCUGUGCCCACCCACCUAGCACUUACAGGGUUUCUCCUGACUACUGCUUCUUCAGGGGCCCCACCCUGGGCCUGAUGCAUACUGGCCCGAGUGUUCCCGAGCCCACACAGCCCGACGCUGCUUGUCGUGAGUGUGCACUGUCCUCUGGUUUCUGUGUGAUUCAUGAGCUUCUCUCCCAGUCCCUUCACAGCAUCCAGCCAGGAUCUUGUCACAGCCCCGCUUCAGAUGGCACUGGCCUUCAAGGACUACUCAAUCUCUCCCCAAAGCAUUUCCAAGCCAUCCUUGCAAGUCAAGGUGUUCAAAACCUGCUGCUGCAAGAGCAGCAAACAGGAAAAAAAACUUUAGGAACCGAGGUAGAGAACUGAGCAGGAAGGAAUGAGGCUGACUUGUGGCAGGUUGCUAAGCAACCUAUCCCGAGACAGAUGUGCUAGGAGCUAAUGAAAACACCUCUAAAAAAUGAGUUUUAAAAUGGAAGGAUUAUCAAAUUUAUGGUGCUUUUUGAUGGAAUUUUAUGAAGUUCUUUAUCUCUGAUACUUAAUACAUUGAGCACAAGAAUUUAUUCCUUCUUUAGUGGUGGAAAAAGUUGCUAUUGCUUUUCCUGGGAAGGUGUAUGGUGGGAACGCGGGUGGUUUUAGAACAGGAGGACUCUCCUGAGUAGCAAGGACUAAAACUAGAGACAUUAUUCUGCUUCCAGAACUUGUUGAUUUGGGUUCAUGAGAGUUGCCCAGAGACAUUGUUCAUAGGUAUUUAUAAAGAAAUAUAUGCUGGCCUCGGGCCUGGAAAUCCACACGGGAAACACCCUCUGUGUAGAGACAGUACUGCGUGUUUGUGUCAUGAGGCUCUGCUUACUUCCAUUCUUCCAACUCAACACCAGUUUUUCAACCUUCUGGAAAGGGGAGUCCUACACAUCCUUCACAUAUGUAUACACAUGUGCAAACAAGUAGAUGUGUGUGUUUACAUAUGUGUAUUUGGGGGGAUGAGUUCAAGCCACUCGGAUUUCAUCCUUACGAACCUGUGUUUUGAAAAUGCCCACAGGCAUGGUUUUGGGGGUUCGCGAGAGCACUCCUGGCACCUACACGUGGUUAAUACAGAGGGAAACGCAGUGCAGAUAUGGUGGCAACCCAGCCUUUGCUUGUCAUCCUCCCUGGCCCAGGUCAGCUGCUCAAGCAGGACAAAGAUUGAAGAGACAGCAGCAGCCAGGGCCGGCUGCACAUUUGGCGUUAAUGCAUCAGAUGACUCAUAGGUCAGAAGCAGAUUUUUCAAGCUCCGCUCUGCCUGAAACGGACCCAGUUUCCCUGGGCCUCACAUCCUGUUCUGUCCCCUUGGAAAACAACAUCAAAAGGAACACACAUUGAUUGAUUUCUCCUUCUCGCUCACUCUCUUUUUUUUUUCUGGUUCUAAAAGUUUUCUGUCAUUCUUGUAAGUCUGUAGUUAGUUUAAUAUUUAAAAUAUGAGCUUCUAAAACAAACUCCCAUGAGUGCUGCAUGGCCACAUUUGGUUUUGAAGUUCUCAAAAAUUCCUUUCUGGUUUUUGUUAAUACAAAGGGGAAAAGAAAGAAAGAAAAGACAAAUGGGGACAGGAAAGGGAUUUUCCAACAUUUUCCUAAAACAUCUACUCACAGACAAACACCAGCAAGACAAUUUAUUCUAACAUUGCAGCAAAGACUUUCCAGGCACCAAAAAACAAGGCAUGUUGCGACAACUUUAAGACAAAUUGCUGGCAACACCAUCUCUGCUUUUUCCUGAGGAGUCAGAAUUUUCCAAGCACUUGUAAAGACUUAAGCUUUUCUAUGCCCUCAGAGAUUAUUAAAUUUCAGUCUCCGUGAGGUGUUUGUCAAUAUUUUCAGAGGACAGGGAAGAGUCGUAUGACUGCAGUGUCCAGUUUAUGCUCACCAAGAAAAGAAAACUACAUACAGGGUGGCGAUGUGCUUCAGCUGGUAGAGCACUUACCUAGCAUGUAAGAUGUCCGGGGCUUGAUUGGCAGCACUACAUAAAGCAGGCAUGCUGAUGUGGGCAGAGAAUCUCACCAUAGUUAGUAGAAGGCAAGAGGAUCAGAAGUUUGAGGUCUUCCUUAGACCUUGUAUGUGUUGCAGGAUUGAGGACAGCAUGGUAUACAUGAGACCUUCUUUCAAAAUAAAUUCUAAAUUUUUUAAGGGAAAGAUCUGGAGCAAUGGCUCAGCAGUAAAGAACACACACUGUUCCACACAGGGCCAGAGUCUGAGUCCCAUCGGGCAUCUCACAGCCACCCGCAACUCCAGUGCCAGGAGGAAACAUGUCUUUGGCCUUCUCAAGAGCCUGCACUUACGUGGAUAGACACUCUGGCUAUGUACACAUCAUUUAGAAUUAAAAUGUAUAGGGGUACUAACUUGUUUGUUGUAGGGUUAAGCCAGCCCCCCUUAGGGGGCGGGCUUGCCUCGAGCAAAGGUUUAC